Molecule: ribosomal RNA, 798 nt
Filed under: uncultured Glomus
Lineage: Eukaryota; Fungi; Glomeromycota; Glomeromycetes; Glomerales; Glomeraceae
Description: SSU rRNA
Rfam family: Eukaryotic small subunit ribosomal RNA
Source: RNAcentral
AUCAACUUUCGAUGGUAGGAUAGAGGCCUACCAUGGUGGUAACGGGUAACGGGGUGUUAGGGCACGACACCGGAGAGGGAGCCUGAGAAACGGCUACCACAUCCAAGGAUGGCAGCAGGCGCGCAAAUUACCCAAUCCCGACACGGGGAGGUAGUGACAAUAAAUAACAAUACGGGGUUCUUUCGGAUCUCGUAAUUGGAAUGAGUACAAUUUAAAUCUCUUAACGAGGAACAAUUGGAGGGCAAGUCUGGUGCCAGCAGCCGCGGUAAUUCCAGCUCCAAUAGCGUGUAUUAAAGUUGUUGCAGUUAAAAAGCUCGUAGUUGAAUUUCGGGACCAAUUUGUUGGUCGUGCCUCGGUACGUACUGGUAUUAUUGGUUUCUCCCUUCUGAAGAACCUUGAUGUCAUUAAUUUGGUGUCUUGGGGAAUCAGGACUGUUACUUUGAAAAAAUUAGAGUGUUUAAAGCAGGCAUACGCUUGAAUACAUUAGCAUGGAAUAAUGAAAUAGGACGUUUGAUUCUAUUUUGUUGGUUUCUAGAAUCGACGUAAUGAUUAAUAGGGAUAGUUGGGGGCAUUAGUAUUCAAUUGUCAGAGGUGAAAUUCUUGGAUUUAUUGAAGACUAACUACUGCGAAAGCAUUUGCCAAGGAUGUUUUCAUUAAUCAAGAACGAAAGUUAGGGGAUCGAAGACGAUCAGAUACCGUCGUAGUCUUAACCAUAAACUAUGCCGACUAGGGAUCGGAUGAUGUUAAUUUUUUAAUGACUCGUUCGGCGCCUUACGGGAAACCAAAGUGUUUGGGUUC